GUGGGCCAAUAAUAUCCUUGUUGUAGGACCUUAUAAGCCAGAGAUUUACCUCCCAAGUGAUUUUCACAAAUUUUUUCAUGAACUUCUCUAAGUGCAUAGUCGGCAUCUAUUGGUCCCAAACACUUCAGUAAGGGAAGAGAGAAUGACCUCUUAUAUAAUUGAUCAUUUAUCAAAAUGUAUUACGAGGCCAUUCAUCUGAGUCAUUUGGCUUCUGAGGG
This 218-nucleotide long non-coding RNA is filed under the name Elaeis guineensis (African oil palm). RNAcentral's name for it is "long non-coding RNA (EGUI_LNC040773)". The record is from RNAcentral. Lineage: Eukaryota; Viridiplantae; Streptophyta; Magnoliopsida; Arecales; Arecaceae.